CCCGAAAUAGCUUUAGGGCUAGCCUCAAGGUGAGAGAUACGGAGGUAGAGCACUGAAUGUCCUAGGGGGGAUUGCACCUACCGAAGACUAUCAAACUCCGAAUGCCGUCAUCUUAUACUUGGGAGUCAGACUGUGGGGGAUAAGAUUCAUAGUCGAAAGGGCAACAGCCCAGAUCGUCAGCUAAGGUCCCUAAAUGUAAGUUAAGUGGUAAAGGAUGUGGGAUUGCACAGACAACCAGGAUGUUGGCUUAGAAGCA
Molecule: ribosomal RNA, 256 nt
Filed under: Clostridioides difficile
Lineage: Bacteria; Bacillati; Bacillota; Clostridia; Peptostreptococcales; Peptostreptococcaceae
Description: partial 23S ribosomal RNA
Rfam family: Bacterial large subunit ribosomal RNA
Source: RNAcentral